This 548-nucleotide long non-coding RNA is filed under the name Homo sapiens (human). RNAcentral describes it as "novel transcript". The record is from RNAcentral. Lineage: Eukaryota; Metazoa; Chordata; Mammalia; Primates; Hominidae.
AUUACAGAUUCCACAUUGCAGCUAAUCUUCAUUAAACUACCACGUGGUGAAUUUUAAUGUAGUAUCCAAGAAGCAUACUGACACCUUCUCCAUUGUCCUACUAUGUAUCUGUGUAAGGCCAGAUUUUCUUCAUAUACAUUAACCAAAGCAACAUAUGGCAACAGACUGAAUGAAGAGGCAGGUUUCCUGGGACUCUGUUGCAUCAAAUUCUACUGCUAGGCAUCAAUUUUAAAGUAUUUCAUCAGUUGGACCUACCAAAUAUCAAGUCAGGAUUUGGCCAUCUCUGCUCUUGCCAUUCCACCUCUCACGACUCUAUCCUCAAAGAAAAGAAAACAGUCUUUCAUCAAUUAUGGUUAAGGAUCCCCAAACUGAAACACAUGUGGCUAAACGCCAUUCAUAUCACCAGCCCACACCAGUCUGGUGGUGGGGGAGAGAAGGAAAAAGAGGAGAUAAAUGGCCUACAUGAUUGAUUUCAACUAAGACCCAAAUCUUGGAGAACAAUUAUUGGAUUUACCACUGUUUGUUUUUGCAACAUUUCGGAAAUCGGC